UACGGAGGGUGCAAGCGUUAUCCGGAAUCACUGGGUUUAAAGGGUGCGUAGGCGGUCUAAUAAGUCAGUCGUGAAAUCGCUGGGCUCAACCCAUGCAAUUGCGAUUGAUACUGUUAGACUUGAAUGGGGUUGAGGCUGGCGGAAUGCGACAUGUAGCGGUGAAAUGCUUAGAUAUGUCGCAGAACACCGAUUGCGAAGGCAGCCAGCUGGGCCUUUAUUGACGCUGAGGCACGAAAGCGUGGGGAGCAAACAGG
RNAcentral lists this ribosomal RNA (254 nucleotides) under uncultured bacterium. RNAcentral's name for it is "partial 16S ribosomal RNA". It matches the Rfam family "Bacterial small subunit ribosomal RNA", at positions 524 to 776 of the family's 1533-position model. The record is from RNAcentral.